UACGGAGGGGGCGAGCGUUAUUCGGAAUUAUUGGGCGUAAAGGGCGCGUAGGCGGUGCGGUAAGUCACCUGUGAAAUCUCCCGGCUUAACCGGGAGGCUGCGGCGGAAACUGGUGUGCUAGAGGGUGGGAGAGGUAAGCGGAAUUCCUGGCGUAGCGGUGAAAUGCGUAGAUAUCAGGAGGAACACCUGCGGUGUAGACAGCUUACUGGACCACUUCUGACGCUGAGACACGAAAGCGUGGGUAGCAAACAGG
This 253-nucleotide ribosomal RNA is filed under the name uncultured bacterium. RNAcentral describes it as "partial 16S ribosomal RNA". It matches the Rfam family "Bacterial small subunit ribosomal RNA", at positions 524 to 776 of the family's 1533-position model. The record is from RNAcentral.